RNAcentral lists this ribosomal RNA (264 nucleotides) under uncultured bacterium. RNAcentral describes it as "partial 16S ribosomal RNA". It matches the Rfam family "Bacterial small subunit ribosomal RNA", at positions 524 to 776 of the family's 1533-position model. The record is from RNAcentral.
UACGUAGGGCGCAAGCGUUUGUCCGGAAUUAUUGGGGCGUAAAGAGCUCUGUAGGCGGCCCUGUUGCGUCCGCUGUGAAAAUCCCCGGGGGCUUAACCCCCGGGCUUGCAGUGGAUACGGGGCAGGCUGGAGGCAGGCAGGGGGAGAACGGAAUUCCCGGUGUAGCGGUGAAAUGCGUAGAGAUCGGGAGGAACAUCAGUGGCGAAGGCGGCCAUCUGGGACAACACGUGACGCUGAAGCACGAAAGCGUGGGGAGCAAACAGG